This 368-nucleotide unclassified non-coding RNA is filed under the name soil metagenome. Its description in RNAcentral is "partial contains 5.8S ribosomal RNA, internal transcribed spacer 2, and large subunit ribosomal RNA". The stretch from base 1 to 120 matches the Rfam family "5.8S ribosomal RNA", at positions 35 to 154 of the family's 154-position model. The record is from RNAcentral.
GAUGAAGAACGUAGCGAAAUGCGAUAAGUAAUGUGAAUUGCAGAAUUCAGUGAACCAUCGAAUCUUUGAACGCACAUUGCGCCCGGCAGUAAUCUGCCGGGCAUGCCUGUCCGAGCGUCAUUUCUGCCCUCGAGCGAGUCCAGCAUCUAGGUGCUGGGCCCGCCCGGCGUUGGGGCACUACGGGAAGCCCUGUGCUGUCCCCCGUAGGCCCCGAAAUGAAGUGGCGGUCCUGCCGCGGCGCCCCCUGCGUAGUAUAACAGCUCGCUUCGGGACCCGGUGGAGGCCUGCCGUCAAACCUUACUCUCUAAGUUUGACCUCGGAUCAGGUAGGGUUACCCGCUGAACUUAAGCAUAUCAAUAAGCGUAGGA